GGGCCACAGUACUCAGUCCUCAGUCCUGCUGCUGCACCAGUGCUGAGAGGAACAUGAGCCGCCUGCUAUCAGUGCUGCUGAUCACUGUAGGAGCCCUGCUGGCUCCAGCUGAGGGAGAGACAGUCAGUGUCAGUCUCAGUCUUGACCAGCUGGAUCCCAGAGCUGUGGACAUUGUUUUAAAUCACUUCAAUGGGAAUAACCGACUGAAAAAAGCCUUUCGCCUGGAUACCCAACGAUCAGGAUUUGGAGCCAGAAUUACUGAGAGCGAAUCCUCUGGGACCCUCCAUACAUUUGAGUUCCAUGUGAAGGAAACGGACUGUCCUCAUACAGCCCCAUUAACACAGCAGUGUAACAUCCAGCCUACUGGGAAUGUGAGGAUAUGUAAGGGAUGCUUUUCAGUCCUCCAUGAUGACAGCUUUGAUGAGGCCCAGAAGUACAUUGAUUGCGCCCGUUUAAGCUCCAUGCAAAAGAGUCGUCGAGGUCAUAUAGAUGAGGCAUGUGCAAGACUUCAGCAUCAUACGAGGCCUAUCGUAUCAUAUUUUAAUGGAGUAUUUUCCGCUCUUCAAGAAGCACCCCGAGUAUCAACAUAAAGAUUGUUCAUCUUUCAGCAGUGAUACUGUAAUGUAGUCACAACUCCCAAUCAGCACAGUACUACCAGAGCAAAGCUCCUGCUGCUGCUUCACUGUCGAACCCAAGUCUCUGUCUGAUACCAUCACACGAUAGAUUCAACAACCACUUACCUACAGCAUUAACAGUAAUUUUGACUUUCAAUGUAACUAUAUAAAUAUGAAGCAUUCUGUAUUAAGAAUGCUGGAUUCAUUUGAUUGUCUUUUUCUAAUUAAAUGAAAUAAUGUCAUUAUUUGCCUUAUUUUACAGCAGUUUAGAGUACACAGCAUUUAUACGUGAUACAUUUACUGACUGAAUGAUUGUUAGUUAAAUUGUUGAGGGGGAAAAUAUGUUUGUUAUAUAAUAACUGAAUAUAAAUUAAUCAUGCAAUAUAAACUGUGGCAUUGAUUAAAGAUAAUUAAAUGUAAGAA
Molecule: long non-coding RNA, 1037 nt
Organism: Lepisosteus oculatus (spotted gar)
Lineage: Eukaryota; Metazoa; Chordata; Actinopteri; Semionotiformes; Lepisosteidae
Source: RefSeq, a predicted model, not a curated record